CUCUCUCUCAUUACAUUUCAUACUUUCACUUGCAUUUUGUGUUACUACCCAAAAACCCUAUUUAGAUUUUCAUGGCCAUAUAUACUAAACACUAUGUUGUUGUUGUUUAUACGUUUAUUUUGCUUUUGGAUCACCAUUUUGACCUCGUUUCUGCAUACCAUCCGCAUAAAAUCCGGCCACCGGCACCGGUACAAUCUUUGAUCAAGUCGAGCAAUCGGCCUCCUACACGGGGUUUAGUCAAGUCAAACCCUCGAACAGUUGCACAAGUUUUAGUCAAGUCAAAUCCUCGAGCACCUGCACAAGUUUCAGUCAAGUCAAAUCCUCGAGCACCUGCACGAGUUUCGGUCAAGUCAAACUCUCGAGCACCUGCACGAGCUUCAGUCAAGUCAAACCCUCAAGCAUCUGCACAAGAUUUAAUCAAGGGGAACCCAGAAAUGAUCGGCGCUCGGAUCAUCAAUAGGUAUAAGAAGAUACAGACAGAUGCCUAUAGGCCCACCUCUCCUGGAAAUAGCCCUGGCAUGGGACAUGAUGUACCUCCUAGAGGCUAGCUGAGGUACCAUGAUAUCAAACCUUAAUAUCCCAAAAAAGGCACUUAAUUUUGUCUUAAUGGUGAUGUGUGUGGUGAGUUCUAAUUAAGAAUGUUUUGUUUGUGGAUCGAUCGAUGAAAAAUAAAAUAUGAUUGGUCCUAGAUUACCCUCCCUAUUUUCUAUUCAAUAAUAUUAUUGUAGGGAAAAAAAAUGGUGAUGAAUUAGAGAUAUAUGUAGAUGAGUUUGCAUGCAUGCAACAUCUUUCUUUUUGUUCUUUAGUGAAAUUGGAUUUCUAAUUUGUUAUGCUUGUAAAAUUUCUUGCAGAAAAGGAAAAGGAAAAAGAAAAAAAAAAAAAGAAACUAUAUCUAUCCAAUUAUUCAUGGAAGGAUUUUUCCUCAUUCACUUUUGC
This 936-nucleotide long non-coding RNA is filed under the name Salvia miltiorrhiza (redroot sage). RNAcentral describes it as "long non-coding RNA (SMIL_LNC000503)". The record is from RNAcentral. Lineage: Eukaryota; Viridiplantae; Streptophyta; Magnoliopsida; Lamiales; Lamiaceae.